CUCUGACUUACAGUCUUCCUUUAUUGAUGCACACGGGAAAUGAACUUAGUGCUAAGAACACAAAAAAAAGAACUACAGUAUCGACCCAUGCAACAUUUUUGAAGAACAAAAGGGGUCCCUGAAAAGGUCCCCAUCAAUGGCAGGACCAUAUCAAUCGAGAUCAGUGACUAAAGCAGCUUCAUUUCGGAUAACCAACAGCCAUUCACAGCUCGGACUUCUGACAGCAAUCCACAGCCGCAACCAAUCACCUGCUCAAUAGACUGUGAACAAAUCAUGUACAGCCCAGCCCAGAAAACAACCAACAGCUCCUUGGAGUAUGGCAACAGAUUAAGGAGGAUUUCCACCCGGUUGCUAUCAUCAGUAUCUUAAGUAACUGACCACGACUGUAUCGUGGAGGAGUACACAUAAGGAUUAAGUGUGGUAGGUAUAAAACAGCCGUAACUGCAAUAAAUAAAAACUCCACAGAUGAACUCCAUAGAUGAACACAUUAAGUUCACGUCGUAACAGGAGGAAGAUGGUAAGAUACCCUUUUUGGACACUUGUGUUCACGUGAACGACGAUGGCUCCACCAAGAUUACGGUUUACCAAAAACCAACACACACCGACCAGUACCUGAACUUCAACUCCAACCACCACUUAGAUCAUAAACAGUCAGUAGUCAGAACAUUAAUCCACUGAGCUGAGAAAAUCACAAGUGAGAAACACGACCAAAAGUUGGAAAUCAAACACUGCAAAACUGCAUUUAGGGCCAACGGUUAUCCAGAGUGGAUGUUUACGAUCCCAAAGAAGAAAGACAAAACACCACCUGAUAAAUCCACCAACAAAAACCAAAAGAUCAAUAUUGGUAUGCCAUACAUCCGGGCACAUCAGAAGCUCUGCACAGAAUAUUCAAGAAAUAUGGGGUCAACAUGUACAAUUGACCAUAUAACUCAAUGAGAGAAAAAUUAACUCACGGUAAAGAUAAAACAGACAAAUUGAAAAAGUGUGGGGUGGUUUAUUACAUUAAGUGUGAACAAUGCAAAAACGAUUACAUAGGUGAAACUGGAAGAUCAUUGGACAUAAGAUUGAUAGAACAUGUAGCCAGAUCCAACUCGGCCAUAUAUGAACAUUGCUCCCACACAGGACACAAAAUUUACCCAAAUAACACCAAAAUUCUAGCAUCUGAGGACUGGCAUAUCAAACGUCGGGUCAAGGAGGCAAUAAACAUUAAACAACUUACCGUCGCUAAACCGGGACGAGGGGCUGGAACUUCCGCCUAUGUAUAAAUCUCUCCUCGUGUCACGUGACCAUCCUACAUCUUGUGACUCGUUCAACUGACCAGCACAUCGCUGAUGAAGACUAUGUGAUACAGUCGAAAUAUUCGAAGAAGUUGCCCUAGUAAAUUCCAGUAUAAAAGGCAAGUGACUUUGAAAUUAUCUGUGUAAAAUUCGAAAUAAAUGUGAUAAUUGUGACUUUCAGUGCUUAUUUUGGAAAAUAUUGUUCACAUUGAAAACUUUAAAAAUAAACUCUGUAUAGAAAAAAGAAUUGUUUUGUGUUGAUGGCAUAAUUGAAGGCCGUCUGGAAACACUUGAGGCUCCGCCCUUUUAUUGACGGUUGAAAUACCUGGUCUCUAUUUGGUUCCCAGUAACCAGUGCAAUGUUUUUGUCUGCCAUGAUAAUGAUGCUGGUGUUUUUUGUGAUCACACAUUGGUGUUUAUUGGAUUUGUGGGCUGAUAGAUAUUGGGACCAGAUAACACUAACUUGUGUGGGCUAUUUGCUGAUUAUGAAAACAGUUGCAUAUUGGACGGAAUGCACUCAGUGUCUAAAACA
Dreissena polymorpha is the source of this 1808-nucleotide long non-coding RNA. RefSeq lists it as uncharacterized. Lineage: Eukaryota; Metazoa; Mollusca; Bivalvia; Myida; Dreissenidae. The record is from RefSeq and is a predicted model, not a curated record. The transcript is spliced from 3 exons.